RNAcentral lists this ribosomal RNA (2903 nucleotides) under Escherichia coli. RNAcentral describes it as "23S ribosomal RNA". It matches the Rfam family "Bacterial large subunit ribosomal RNA". The record is from RNAcentral. Lineage: Bacteria; Pseudomonadati; Pseudomonadota; Gammaproteobacteria; Enterobacterales; Enterobacteriaceae.
UUAAGCGACUAAGCGUACACGGUGGAUGCCCUGGCAGUCAGAGGCGAUGAAGGACGUGCUAAUCUGCGAUAAGCGUCGGUAAGGUGAUAUGAACCGUUAUAACCGGCGAUUUCCGAAUGGGGAAACCCAGUGUGAUUCGUCACACUAUCAUUAACUGAAUCCAUAGGUUAAUGAGGCGAACCGGGGGAACUGAAACAUCUAAGUACCCCGAGGAAAAGAAAUCAACCGAGAUUCCCCCAGUAGCGGCGAGCGAACGGGGAGCAGCCCAGAGCCUGAAUCAGUGUGUGUGUUAGUGGAAGCGUCUGGAAAGGCGCGCGAUACAGGGUGACAGCCCCGUACACAAAAAUGCAUAUACUGUGAGCUCGAUGAGUAGGGCGGGACACGUGGUAUCCUGUCUGAAUAUGGGGGGACCAUCCUCCAAGGCUAAAUACUCCUGACUGACCGAUAGUGAACCAGUACCGUGAGGGAAAGGCGAAAAGAACCCCGGCGAGGGGAGUGAAAAAGAACCUGAAACCGUGUACGUACAAGCAGUGGGAGCCUCUUUAUGGGGUGACUGCGUACCUUUUGUAUAAUGGGUCAGCGACUUAUAUUCUGUAGCAAGGUUAACCGAAUAGGGGAGCCGAAGGGAAACCGAGUCUUAACUGGGCGUUAAGUUGCAGGGUAUAGACCCGAAACCCGGUGAUCUAGCCAUGGGCAGGUUGAAGGUUGGGUAACACUAACUGGAGGACCGAACCGACUAAUGUUGAAAAAUUAGCGGAUGACUUGUGGCUGGGGGUGAAAGGCCAAUCAAACCGGGAGAUAGCUGGUUCUCCCCGAAAGCUAUUUAGGUAGCGCCUCGUGAAUUCAUCUCCGGGGGUAGAGCACUGUUUCGGCAAGGGGGUCAUCCCGACUUACCAACCCGAUGCAAACUGCGAAUACCGGAGAAUGUUAUCACGGGAGACACACGGCGGGUGCUAACGUCCGUCGUGAAGAGGGAAACAACCCAGACCGCCAGCUAAGGUCCCAAAGUCAUGGUUAAGUGGGAAACGAUGUGGGAAGGCCCAGACAGCCAGGAUGUUGGCUUAGAAGCAGCCAUCAUUUAAAGAAAGCGUAAUAGCUCACUGGUCGAGUCGGCCUGCGCGGAAGAUGUAACGGGGCUAAACCAUGCACCGAAGCUGCGGCAGCGACGCUUAUGCGUUGUUGGGUAGGGGAGCGUUCUGUAAGCCUGUGAAGGUGUGCUGUGAGGCAUGCUGGAGGUAUCAGAAGUGCGAAUGCUGACAUAAGUAACGAUAAAGCGGGUGAAAAGCCCGCUCGCCGGAAGACCAAGGGUUCCUGUCCAACGUUAAUCGGGGCAGGGUGAGUCGACCCCUAAGGCGAGGCCGAAAGGCGUAGUCGAUGGGAAACAGGUUAAUAUUCCUGUACUUGGUGUUACUGCGAAGGGGGGACGGAGAAGGCUAUGUUGGCCGGGCGACGGUUGUCCCGGUUUAAGCGUGUAGGCUGGUUUUCCAGGCAAAUCCGGAAAAUCAAGGCUGAGGCGUGAUGACGAGGCACUACGGUGCUGAAGCAACAAAUGCCCUGCUUCCAGGAAAAGCCUCUAAGCAUCAGGUAACAUCAAAUCGUACCCCAAACCGACACAGGUGGUCAGGUAGAGAAUACCAAGGCGCUUGAGAGAACUCGGGUGAAGGAACUAGGCAAAAUGGUGCCGUAACUUCGGGAGAAGGCACGCUGAUAUGUAGGUGAAGUCCCUCGCGGAUGGAGCUGAAAUCAGUCGAAGAUACCAGCUGGCUGCAACUGUUUAUUAAAAACACAGCACUGUGCAAACACGAAAGUGGACGUAUACGGUGUGACGCCUGCCCGGUGCCGGAAGGUUAAUUGAUGGGGUUAGCGGUAACGCGAAGCUCUUGAUCGAAGCCCCGGUAAACGGCGGCCGUAACUAUAACGGUCCUAAGGUAGCGAAAUUCCUUGUCGGGUAAGUUCCGACCUGCACGAAUGGCGUAAUGAUGGCCAGGCUGUCUCCACCCGAGACUCAGUGAAAUUGAACUCGCUGUGAAGAUGCAGUGUACCCGCGGCAAGACGGAAAGACCCCGUGAACCUUUACUAUAGCUUGACACUGAACAUUGAGCCUUGAUGUGUAGGAUAGGUGGGAGGCUUUGAAGUGUGGACGCCAGUCUGCAUGGAGCCGACCUUGAAAUACCACCCUUUAAUGUUUGAUGUUCUAACGUUGGCCCCUGAUCGGGGUUGCGGACAGUGUCUGGUGGGUAGUUUGACUGGGGCGGUCUCCUCCUAAAGAGUAACGGAGGAGCACGAAGGUUGGCUAAUCCUGGUCGGACAUCAGGAGGUUAGUGCAAUGGCAUAAGCCAGCUUGACUGCGAGCGUGACGGCGCGAGCAGGUGCGAAAGCAGGUCAUAGUGAUCCGGUGGUUCUGAAUGGAAGGGCCAUCGCUCAACGGAUAAAAGGUACUCCGGGGAUAACAGGCUGAUACCGCCCAAGAGUUCAUAUCGACGGCGGUGUUUGGCACCUCGAUGUCGGCUCAUCACAUCCUGGGGCUGAAGUAGGUCCCAAGGGUAUGGCUGUUCGCCAUUUAAAGUGGUACGCGAGCUGGGUUUAGAACGUCGUGAGACAGUUCGGUCCCUAUCUGCCGUGGGCGCUGGAGAACUGAGGGGGGCUGCUCCUAGUACGAGAGGACCGGAGUGGACGCAUCACUGGUGUUCGGGUUGUCAUGCCAAUGGCACUGCCCGGUAGCUAAAUGCGGAAGAGAUAAGUGCUGAAAGCAUCUAAGCACGAAACUUGCCCCGAGAUGAGUUCUCCCUGACUCCUUGAGAGUCCUGAAGGAACGUUGAAGACGACGACGUUGAUAGGCCGGGUGUGUAAGCGCAGCGAUGCGUUGAGCUAACCGGUACUAAUGAACCGUGAGGCUUAACCUU